AGAGUUUGAUCCUGGCUCAGAUUGAACGCUGGCGGCAUGCCUUACACAUGCAAGUCGAACGGUAACAGGUCUUCGGAUGCUGACGAGUGGCGAACGGGUGAGUAAUACAUCGGAACGUGCCCAGUAAUGGGGGAUAGCUCGGCGAAAGCCGGAUUAAUACCGCAUACGCCCUGAGGGGGAAAGUGGGGGAUCGCAAGACCUCACGUUAUUGGAGCGGCCGAUGGCUGAUUAGCUAGUUGGUAGGGUAAAGGCCUACCAAGGCGACGAUCAGUAGCUGGUCUGAGAGGACGAUCAGCCACACUGGGACUGAGACACGGCCCAGACUCCUACGGGAGGCAGCAGUGGGGAAUUUUGGACAAUGGGGGAAACCCUGAUCCAGCAAUGCCGCGUGUGCGAAGAAGGCCUUCGGG
Molecule: ribosomal RNA, 410 nt
Filed under: uncultured bacterium
Lineage: Bacteria
Description: bacterial SSU rRNA
Rfam family: Bacterial small subunit ribosomal RNA
Source: RNAcentral